This 768-nucleotide small RNA is filed under the name Pan troglodytes (chimpanzee). RNAcentral's name for it is "processed transcript". Lineage: Eukaryota; Metazoa; Chordata; Mammalia; Primates; Hominidae. The record is from RNAcentral.
CCUCAGGCUUUAGGAACUGAAGAGGGAUGAUACUGUGAAGUGUUCAGGAAUGAAGUCUCGUGAUGUCUGCUACCUAGUUUCAAAUGGCAGGAGAGACAGAGGGAUGGGGAAGCAAAAGUGACCAUUGUUAACUCUAGGUGGUUGGUCAUAAAAUUGCUGUUAUGUAUGUGAAAACGGCCAAAUAUACCAUCGACCCCAGAUUAGGAUCAGUCUGGUGCCUCUGAAAAUGUGAAUUGAGAAGAACUGAAAGAAAAUCUUUCCCUGGGGAGACUGCAGCCGAAACACCCUUCUGACGAAUGUGCUGACCUAAUCUAAGCCUCAAUUUCCUUCAACAAGGGAUGCAUCGCUCACUUCCCUUGAGCUGUGAGAAUGAAACAAGAUAAUGCGUUAAAGCCCUUGGCCCAGUUCCUGGCAUGUGGCGAGCUCUUGGUCCAUAAGCAAAUCUUCGUAUUAGUGUGAGUUCCUGGUCCUCCAUGAAAGAACAAAGCUUUUGGCCUGUAAAAUCUAAUCUCUGGAAAUGAGAAGCACUAAAAAGAAGAGGAGUGGGGACGGAGUGGGGAGGCACUUGGAAGGCUCCUGUUUUGUUUUGUUUUGUUUUGUUGACAAAUUCAUUCUUCAUCUUAGCCAGCGCCAUGGAGUGAGUCCAGCUCUCUGUGUCUGGCCCCGCUGUGAACCCCCUGAGGCUAUCCACAGUUGGAUAUCUUCCUGUUCCUUCCCUGCCCUACCCUCUUCAAAUGCAAACUUGGGGGGGCUCAAGAUUAUUCCAUA